RNAcentral lists this ribosomal RNA (424 nucleotides) under uncultured bacterium. Its description in RNAcentral is "partial 16S ribosomal RNA". It matches the Rfam family "Bacterial small subunit ribosomal RNA", at positions 359 to 776 of the family's 1533-position model. The record is from RNAcentral.
AAAAUUGGACAAUGGGGGAAACCCUGAUCCAGCCAUCCUGCGUGUAGGAGUAAGGCCUUCGGGUUGCAAAGUACUUUUGGCUGUGAAGAACAGGUAUCACCUACUACGCGUUACUGCUGACGGUAUCCGCCGAAUCAGCACCGGACAACUACGUGCCAGCAGCAGCGGUAAGACGUAGGGUGCAAGCGUUAAUCGGAAUUACUGGGCGUAAAGCGUGUGUAGGCGGUUCGGAAAGAAAGAUGUGAAAUCCCAGGGCUCAACCUUGGAACUGCAUUUUUAACUGCCGAGCUAGAGUAUGUCAGAGGGGGGUAGAAUUCCACGUGUAGCAGUGAAAUGCGUAGAUAUGUGGAGGAAUACCGAUGGCGAAGGCAGCCCCCUGGGAUAAUACUGACGCUCAGACACGAAAGCGUGGGGAGCAAACAGG